This 507-nucleotide ribosomal RNA is filed under the name uncultured bacterium. RNAcentral's name for it is "bacterial SSU rRNA". It matches the Rfam family "Bacterial small subunit ribosomal RNA", at positions 8 to 526 of the family's 1533-position model. The record is from RNAcentral.
AGAGUUUGAUCCUGGCUCAGGACGAACGCUGGCGGCGUGCUUAACACAUGCAAGUCGAACGGUGACGACAGGGCUUGCCUUGUCUGAUCAGUGGCGAACGGGUGAGUAACACGUGAGUAACCUGCCCCAGACUCUGGGAUAACCCCGGGAAACCGGAGCUAAUACCGGAUAUGACACCAGUCCGCAUGGGCAUGGUGUGGAAAGUUUUUCGGUCUGGGAUGGACUCGCGGCCUAUCGGCUUGUUGGUGAGGUAGUGGCUCACCAAGGCGACGACGGGUAGCCGGCCUGAGAGGGCGACCGGCCACACUGGGACUGAGACACGGCCCAGACUCCUACGGGAGGCAGCAGUGGGGAAUAUUGCACAAUGGGCGGAAGCCUGAUGCAGCGACGCCGCGUGAGGGAUGACGGCCUUCGGGUUGUAAACCUCUUUCAGCAGGGAAGAAGCGCAAGUGACGGUACCUGCAGAAGAAGCACCGGCUAACUACGUGCCAGCCGCCGCGGUAAUAC